AUUACACUAAAUAUGCCACAUGUUAAUUUAAUAUUGGCUUCUUGUGUAUUAAGUCGAUACAACUGAUGCAUCAAAAAAUUUUCAACUUAAAAUAUAUAUUUUUGUGUCUUAAAUUUAUAAUGAACCGAUUCUAUGAGUUUUAAGUUUAUCUCUGACGUAUGCAUGCAGGUUUAUGUAACUAGUACCUGUGUUUGAUCUCCAGCAGUGACGACUAAUGCAUCUUUAUCUGGGCAAAAAGAUACCCAUCACAAAUAUGCAGGCACAGUGCAUGAGAGUAAUCGGUUCCCCUUAUCA
This 294-nucleotide unclassified non-coding RNA is filed under the name Hevea brasiliensis (rubber tree). The record is from RNAcentral. Lineage: Eukaryota; Viridiplantae; Streptophyta; Magnoliopsida; Malpighiales; Euphorbiaceae.